UACGUAGGGGGCAAGCGUUGUCCGGAUUUAUUGGGCGUAAAGAGCUCGUAGGCGGCCAGUUGCGUCUGCUGUGAAAUCCCGGGGCUCAACCCCGGGCGUGCAGUGGAUACGGGCUGGCUAGAGGCAGGCAGGGGAGAACGGAAUUCCCGGUGUAGCGGUGAAAUGCGCAGAUAUCGGGAGGAACACCGGUGGCGAAGGCGGUUCUCUGGGCCUGUACUGACGCUGAGGAGCGAAAGCGUGGGGAGCGAACAGG
This 253-nucleotide ribosomal RNA is filed under the name uncultured bacterium. Its description in RNAcentral is "partial 16S ribosomal RNA". It matches the Rfam family "Bacterial small subunit ribosomal RNA", at positions 524 to 776 of the family's 1533-position model. The record is from RNAcentral.